This 66-nucleotide transfer RNA is filed under the name Chonosia crassipennis. RNAcentral's name for it is "tRNA-Trp". The record is from RNAcentral. Lineage: Eukaryota; Metazoa; Arthropoda; Insecta; Hemiptera; Cicadidae.
AAGGUUUUAAGUUAAUAUAAACUAUUAUCCUUCAAAGUUAAAAAUAUAAUUUUAUUAUAAGCCUUA